Molecule: ribosomal RNA, 468 nt
Filed under: uncultured bacterium
Lineage: Bacteria
Description: partial 16S ribosomal RNA
Rfam family: Bacterial small subunit ribosomal RNA
Source: RNAcentral
GACGAACGCUGGCGGCGUGCUUAACACAUGCAAGUCGAACGGACAGGCCCUGCUUUUGUGGGGUGCUCGAGUGGCGAACGGGUGAGUAACACGUGAGUAACCUGCCCUUGACUUUGGGAUAACUUCAGGAAACUGGGGCUAAUACCCGAUAGGAGCUCCUGCUGCAUGGUGGGGGUUGGAAAGUUUCGGCGGUUGGGGAUGGACUCGCGGCUUAUCAGCUUGUUGGUGGGGUAGUGGCUUACCAAGGCUUUGACGGGUAGCCGGCCUGAGAGGGUGACCGGCCACAUGGGGACUGAGAGACGGACCAGACUCCUACGGGAGGCAGCAGUGGGAAAUAUUGCACAGUGAGCGGAAGCCUGAUGCGACAGCGCCGCGUGCGGGAUAACGGCCUUCGGGUUGUAAACCACUUUCGCCUGUAACGAGGCGUGAGUGACGGUAAUGGAUAAAGAAGCACCGGCUAACUACGUG